GGUGAACGCUGGCGGCGUGCCUAAUACAUGCGAGUCGAGCGAACGGACGAGAAGCUUGCUUUUCUGAUGUUAGCGGCGGACGGGUGAGUAACACGUGGAUAACCUACCUAUAAGACUGGGAUAACUUCGGGAAACCGGAGCUAAUACCGGAUAAUAUUUUGAACCGCAUGGUUCAAAAGUGAAAGACGGUCUUGCUGUCACUUAUAGAUGGAUCCGCGCUGCAUUAGCUAGUUGGUAAGGUAACGGCUUACCAAGGCAACGAUGCAUAGCCGACCUGAGAGGGUGAUCGGCCACACUGGAACUGAGACACGGUCCAGACUCCUACGGGAGGCAGCAGUAGGGAAUCCUCCGCAAUGGGCGAAAGCCUGACGGAGCAACGCCGCGUGAGUGAUGAAGGUCUUCGGAUCGUAAAACUCUGUUAUUAGGGAAGAACAUAUGUGUAAGUAACUGUGCACAUCUUGACGGUACCUAAUCAGAAAGCCACGGCUAACUACGUG
This 497-nucleotide ribosomal RNA is filed under the name uncultured bacterium. RNAcentral describes it as "partial 16S ribosomal RNA". It matches the Rfam family "Bacterial small subunit ribosomal RNA", at positions 28 to 507 of the family's 1533-position model. The record is from RNAcentral.